This 755-nucleotide ribosomal RNA is filed under the name uncultured fungus. RNAcentral describes it as "eukaryotic LSU rRNA". The stretch from base 1 to 241 matches the Rfam family "Eukaryotic small subunit ribosomal RNA", at positions 1593 to 1831 of the family's 1831-position model. Lineage: Eukaryota; Fungi. The record is from RNAcentral.
UUGCUCUUCAACGAGGAAUGCCUAGUAAGCGCAUGUCAUCAGCAUGCGUUGAUUACGUCCCUGCCCUUUGUACACACCGCCCGUCGCUACUACCGAUUGAAUGGCUCAGUGAGGCCUUCGGACUGGCUUGGGGAGGUUGGCAACGACCACCCUAAGCCGGAAAGUUCGUCAAACUCGGUCAUUUAGAGGAAGUAAAAGUCGUAACAAGGUUUCCGUAGGUGAACCUGCGGAAGGAUCAUUACCUAGAGUUUGUAGACUUCGGUCUGCUACCUCUUACCCACGUCUUUUGAGUACCUUCGUUUCCUCGGCGGGUCCGCCCGCCGAUUGGACAACAUUCAAACCCUUUGCAGUUGCAAUCAGCGUCUGAAAAAACAUAAUAGUUACAACUUUCAACAACGGAUCUCUUGGUUCUGGCAUCGAUGAAGAACGCAGCGAAAUGCGAUAAGUAGUGUGAAUUGCAGAAUUCAGUGAAUCAUCGAAUCUUUGAACGCACAUUGCGCCCCUUGGUAUUCCAUGGGGCAUGCCUGUUCGAGCGUCAUUUGUACCUUCAAGCUCUGCUUGGUGUUGGGUGUUUGUCUCGCCUCUGCGUGUAGACUCGCCUUAAAACAAUUGGCAGCCGGCGUAUUGAUUUCGGAGCGCAGUACAUCUCGCGCUUUGCACUCACAACGACGACGUCCAAAAGUACAUUUUUACACUCUUGACCUCGGAUCAGGUAGGGAUACCCGCUGAACUUAAGCAUAUCAAUAAGCGGAGGA